GACGAACGCUGGCGGCGUGCUUAACACAUGCAAGUCGAACGGAAAGGCCCUGCUUUUGUGGGGUGCUCGAGUGGCGAACGGGUGAGUAACCCGUGAGUAACCUGCCCUUGACUUUGGGAUAACUUCAGGAAACUGGGGCUAAUACCGGAUAGGAGCUCCUGCUGCAUGGUGGGGGUUGGAAAGUUUCGGCGGUUGGGGAUGGACUCGCGGCUUAUCAGCUUGUUGGUGGGGUAGUGGCUUACCCAGGCUUUGAGGGGUAGCCGGCCUGAGAGGGUGACCGGCCAAAUUGGGACUGAGAUACGGCCAAGCCUCCUACGGGGGGCAGCAGUGGGGAAUAUUGCACAAUGGGGGGAAGCCGGAUGCAGCAACGCCGCGUGCGGGAUGGCGGCCUUCGGGUUGUAAACCGCUUUCGCCUGUGACGAAGCGUGAGUGACGGUAAUGGGUAAAGAAGCACCGGCUAACUACGUG
RNAcentral lists this ribosomal RNA (468 nucleotides) under uncultured bacterium. RNAcentral's name for it is "partial 16S ribosomal RNA". It matches the Rfam family "Bacterial small subunit ribosomal RNA", at positions 28 to 507 of the family's 1533-position model. The record is from RNAcentral.